GACGAACGCUGGCGGCGUGGAUUAGGCAUGCAAGUCGGACGGUAGGGCUUUAUCGUAAGAUAGAGUUUGAGAGUGGCGAACGGGUGAGUAACACGUAGGAAUCUACCCUUAAGACGGGGACAACCCAGGGAAACUUGGGCUAAUACCGGAUGAGAGUGCGAGAGAUUGCAUUUAAAAGGAUGGCGAAAGUUGUCGCUUAGGGAUGAGCCUGCGGUCUAUUAGUUAGUUGGUGAGGUAAGAGCUCACCAAGGCGAUGAUAGAUAGGCGGCCUUAACGGGUGGUCGCCCACACUGGGAUUGAGAUACGGCCCAGACUUCUACGGGAGCAGCAGUCGAGAAUAGUCUACAAUGGUCGGAAGACUGAUAGUGCGACGCCGCGUGAACGAUGAAUCCCUUCGGGGUUAAAGUUCUUUUAUAUGUGAGCAGUGCUUCUUAAUAUUAACAGUAUGGGGAAGAGAUAUUAGCAUAUGAAUAAGCAAACGGCUAACUCCGU
RNAcentral lists this ribosomal RNA (492 nucleotides) under uncultured bacterium. RNAcentral's name for it is "bacterial SSU rRNA". It matches the Rfam family "Bacterial small subunit ribosomal RNA", at positions 28 to 506 of the family's 1533-position model. The record is from RNAcentral.